AUUGAACGCUGGCGGCAGGCUUAACACAUGCAAGUCGAGCGGAGAGAGGUAGCUUGCUACUGAUCUUAGCGGCGGACGGGUGAGUAAUGCUUAGGAAUCUGCCUAUUAGUGGGGGACAACAUUUCGAAAGGAAUGCUAAUACCGCAUACGUCCUACGGGAGAAAGCAGGGGAUCUUCGGACCUUGCGCUAAUAGAUGAGCCUAAGUCGGAUUAGCUAGUUGGUGGGGUAAAGGCCUACCAAGGCGACGAUCUGUAGCGGGUCGGAGAGGGUGAUCCGCCACACUGGGACUGAGACACGGCCCAGACUCCUACGGGAGGCAGCAGUGGGGAAUAUUGGACAAUGGGCGGAAGCCUGAUCCAGCCAUGCCGCGUGUGUGAAGAAGGCCUUAUGGUUGUAAAGCACUUUAAGCGAGGAGGAGGCUACUUUAGUUAAUACCUAGAGAUAGUGGACGUUACUCGCAGAAUAAGCACCGGCUAACUCUGUGCCAGCAGCCGCCGUAA
Molecule: ribosomal RNA, 501 nt
Filed under: uncultured bacterium
Lineage: Bacteria
Description: partial 16S ribosomal RNA
Rfam family: Bacterial small subunit ribosomal RNA
Source: RNAcentral